ACACUGAUUAUUAUUUAAAAAAUCGUAGCAAUAUGUGAUACUCUUUCACAGGAAUACGAAUGUUGUAGGAAACAAGAAUCUUUCUCUAUUAAUAAGUCGAUUAUUGUCUAUCACGUACCACACCACAAUUAUGCUUCUUGUCGUACAAUUGAACUGACAACUGAACCUUACCAAGUUACCAAUCUUACUAUAUCACGUGAUCAGAAGCCAUUAAGCCAAUCAGUUUCUCACUUCUACCACGCGAUUUUUGAUCACGUGACACGGUAACGUUUAAUGACGCAGCAAGAAGCGACGUAAUGUACACGAUAGUUAAUCAACAAUAGAGAAACAUUCAUUGUUUAGCGUAACAUUCGUAUUUCUGAGGAAGAGUAUCGCACAUAUUGCUACGAUUUUUCGACUCCUAGUGUUUCUGGUCAGUUAUUACACAAAUAUAAGAGGAAGCGGAUGUGGACGAGUGGCAAAUAAUACACCGAAACAAUAAAUUUCACCAUAAACGACAGAGGUGAAUAUUUGUUUAUCAACGGUCAUAUAAUGUCAAAAAGAAAAAGAGGACCUUAUAAAAGAUAUCUGCUAGACGAUUCUAACGAAAUUCCUGUAACAACAAGACGUUCUCGUCUAACAGCGAAAAAA
Wasmannia auropunctata (little fire ant) is the source of this 630-nucleotide long non-coding RNA. RefSeq lists it as uncharacterized. The transcript has 2 exons. The record is from RefSeq and is a predicted model, not a curated record. NCBI's taxonomy places the organism in Eukaryota, Metazoa, Arthropoda, Insecta, Hymenoptera, Formicidae.